RNAcentral lists this non-coding RNA (30 nucleotides) under Rattus norvegicus (Norway rat). The record is from RNAcentral. Lineage: Eukaryota; Metazoa; Chordata; Mammalia; Rodentia; Muridae.
UGGAAUGACUCUAGAGUUGACAGGGAAUUC